UGGGGAAUAUUGCACAAUGGGCGCAAGCCUGAUGCAGCCAUGCCGCGUGUGUGAAGAAGGCCUUCGGGUUGUAAAGCACUUUCAGCGAGGAGGAAGGUGGUGGACUUAAUACGUUCAUCAAUUGACGUUACUCGCAGAAGAAGCACCGGCUAACUCCGUGCCAGCAGCCGCGGUAAUACGGAGGGUGCAAGCGUUAAUCGGAAUUACUGGGCGUAAAGCGCACGCAGGCGGUUUGUUAAGUCAGAUGUGAAAUCCCCGGGCUCAACCUGGGAACUGCAUUUGAAAACUGGCAAGCUAGAGUCUCGUAGAGGGGGGUAGAAUUCCAGGUGUAGCGGUGAAAUGCGUAGAGAUCUGGAGGAAUACCGGUGGCGAAGGCGGCCCCCUGGACGAAGACUGACGCUCAGGUGCGAAAAGCGUGGGGAGCAAAACAGGAUUAGAUACCCUGGUAGUCCACGCUGUAAAACGAUGUCGAUUUUGGAGGGUUGUGCCCUUGAGGCGUGGCUUCCGGAGCUAACGCGUUAAAUCGACCGCCUGGGGAGUACGGCCGCAAGGUUAAAACUCAAAAGGAAUUGACGGGGUC
This 580-nucleotide ribosomal RNA is filed under the name uncultured bacterium. RNAcentral's name for it is "partial 16S ribosomal RNA". It matches the Rfam family "Bacterial small subunit ribosomal RNA", at positions 355 to 920 of the family's 1533-position model. The record is from RNAcentral.